AAGUUCCUGAGGUGUUCGAUAAUUUCUGUAUUUUUGAACCUACAACACUUUAAAAGGGAUUCCUAUAUCUGUAGCUGGAUGUCGGGCCGUCACUGCGCAUAUACCAUGCUGUAUAUGGGUACUUAGUUAAACUAGCAACGGAAGGCAGAAGGUUACAUGCGGUUGCCCACCUAGCUUUUGCUAGGAGUCAAAAAACAGAAACCGGCAUCUUGGGGCUCC
This 219-nucleotide non-coding RNA is filed under the name Eubacterium sp. Its description in RNAcentral is "6S RNA". It matches the Rfam family "6S / SsrS RNA". From Rfam's summary of the family: E. coli 6S RNA was the first non coding RNA to be sequenced, but its function was unknown until recently. The record is from RNAcentral. Lineage: Bacteria; Bacillati; Bacillota; Clostridia; Eubacteriales; Eubacteriaceae.